Molecule: ribosomal RNA, 1385 nt
Filed under: uncultured bacterium
Lineage: Bacteria
Description: 16S ribosomal RNA
Rfam family: Bacterial small subunit ribosomal RNA
Source: RNAcentral
UUCGCCCUUAGAGUUUGAUUCUGGCCCAGGACGAACGCUGGCGGCGUGCCUAACACAUGCAAGUCGAACGGACGAGAGAGCUUCGGCUCUCAAGUUAGUGGCGGACGGGUGAGUAACGCGUGAGCAACCUGCCUUUCAGAGGGGGAUAACGUUUGGAAACAGACGCUAAUACCGCGUAAGAUAGCAGCACCGCAUGAUGCAGCUAUUAAAGGAGCAAUCCGCUGAAAGAUGGGCUCGCGUCCGAUUAGAUAGUUGGUGAGGUAACGGCUCACCAAGUCGACGAUCGGUAGCCGGACUGAGAGGUUGAACGGCCACAUUGGGACUGAGACACGGCCCAGACUCCUACGGGAGGCAGCAGUGGGGGAUAUUGCACAAUGGGCGAAAGCCUGAUGCAGCAACGCCGCGUGAGGGAAGACGGUUUUCGGAUUGUAAACCUCUGUCUUCGGUGACGAAACAAAUGACGGUAGCCGAGGAGGAAGCCACGGCUAACUACGUGCCAGCAGCCGCGGUAAUACGUAGGUGGCAAGCGUUGUCCGGAAUUACUGGGUGUAAAGGGAGCGUAGGCGGGAUAGCAAGUCAGCUGUGAAAUUCAUGGGCUUAACCCAUGACGUGCAGUUGAAACUGCUUUUCUUGAGUGGAGUAGAGGCAGGCGGAAUUCCGAGUGUAGCGGUGAAAUGCGUAGAUAUCCGGAGGAACACCAGUGGCGAAGGCGGCCUGCUGGGCUCUAACUGACGCUGAGGCUCGAAAGUGUGGGGAGCAAACAGGAUUAGAUACCCUGGUAGUCCACACUGUAAACGAUGAUUGCUAGGUGUGGGGGGGUCUGACCCCUUCCGUGCCGGAGUUAACGCAAUAAGCAAUCCACCUGGGGAGUGCGGCCGCAAGGUUGAAACUCAAAGGAAUUGACGGGGGCCCGCACAAGCAGUGGAUUAUGUGGUUUAAUUCGAAGCAACGCGAAGAACCUUACCAGGUCUUGACAUCCAACUAACGAGAUAGAGAUAUGUCAGGUGCCCUUCGGGGAAAGUUGAGACAGGUGGUGCAUGGUUGUCGUCAGCUCGUGUCGUGAGAUGUUGGGUUAAGUCCCGCAACGAGCGCAACCCCUGCCAUUAGUUGCUACGCAAGAGCACUCUAAUGGGACCGCUACCGACAAGGUGGAGGAAGGUGGGGACGACGUCAAAUCAUCAUGCCCCUUAUGACCUGGGCUACACACGUAAUACAAUGGCCGUUAACAACAGGAAGCAAUGCCGCGAGGCGGAGCAAAACCUCAAAAACGGUCUCAGUUCGGAUCGCAGGCUGCAACCCGCCUGCGUGAAGUUGGAAUUGCUAGUAAUCGCGAAUCAGCAUGUCGCGGUGAAUACGUUCCCGGGCCUUGCACUCACCGCCCGUCA